GGGGCCGACUGGUAUUGACAGGAAAGAUUUCUUGUAAGUAAGCAUGCCGGAGAAUUGAUCAUACACUUCGUUCAAAUGAUGAUCACAAUUUAAUUGGCGACAAUAGAUUCGCAUUAGCUGCCUAAUUUAGAAUUAGCAUAGCUUUUUGCACCGUGUAAGAAGAUGUCCAAUAUUCUUACUUAUCGGUGUAUAAUGAGAGGGAUACUGCGGGUAUUCCACUUGGACUAGGAAGGUUAAGGCUUCGGUAACUUUCCGAAAAUUAAGAAGAUAAGCAGAUAACUGGUUGUUUGUACACCUGUUUGAAGUCGAAAAUUUAAGAACAAACUAAGCAUGUAGAAAGCCUACGAGCGCUUUGUCUGGACCCGAGUUCGACUCUCGGCGGCUCCACCU
RNAcentral lists this transfer-messenger RNA (390 nucleotides) under Bacteroidia bacterium. It matches the Rfam family "transfer-messenger RNA". From Rfam's summary of the family: Bacterial tmRNA, also known as 10Sa RNA or SsrA, is named for its dual tRNA and mRNA-like properties. Its role is to liberate the mRNA from a stalled ribosome. Lineage: Bacteria; Pseudomonadati; Bacteroidota; Bacteroidia. The record is from RNAcentral. RNAcentral also lists the same sequence under 1 other name.